UUGUGUCCUGUCAGGACGUACUCUCUAACCCAGUAUUGGAGCUGACCAAGAGACCAGGAGAAAACGUUACUCUAUACUGUGACUGUAAACAAACAACUAAUGUAAAUAUUGUUUGGUACAGGAACUGUUCUCAUGAAAAUCAGCCAACACUAUCUCUGAAUUGGAAGGACAGAUAUCAAGGCAUUUUUGAUUAUGGCGAGGAUGGAGUAAAUUUCUUCCAUUUAAAUAUGAUGUUGAACAAUUUGUCAAACUCAUACGACUUACUGAUUAAGAACAUUACUGAUUCUCACCUUGGUCUCUACUACUGUGGAACUGAUGAACUGAACGGGGAAAAAGGAAACAAGAAAAAAUAUAUCUACACAUAUGGUAAAAUAAUCACAAGGAUUUUGUUUGAUAUCCCUUUAGAUGCCGGUGCUGUAGACCCUGCUGCUCCAGACUGUGGACAUUGCUGGAUGCUGCUGGUCACCCUGUGUCCCUCCUCCGCUCUCCUCUCUUUGUUCCUCUACUUCCUCUGCAGUCACAUGGUUCGUGCCGGAAGACAUCCUUGCAUCUCUCAGGAAACCAGGCCUUUAACACUGCAAGAUGAGGUAUAUGAUAGUACACCACUUACAUUAAAUGAUGUUAACACCCUGUUCUAUUAAGAAGUGUGCUCAGUCGUUGUACUGUCCUAAUGUCACGUUAUGUCUGUCUC
Molecule: long non-coding RNA, 691 nt
Organism: Gadus macrocephalus (Pacific cod)
Lineage: Eukaryota; Metazoa; Chordata; Actinopteri; Gadiformes; Gadidae
Exons: 3
Source: RefSeq, a predicted model, not a curated record